RNAcentral lists this transfer RNA (74 nucleotides) under Calditrichota bacterium. RNAcentral describes it as "Calditrichaeota bacterium (activated sludge metagenome) tRNA-Val". The record is from RNAcentral. Lineage: Bacteria; Pseudomonadati; Calditrichota.
GGGCGAUUAGCUCAGCUGGUUAGAGCGCUGUCUCCACACGGCAGAGGUCACUGGUUCGGCUCCAGUAUCGCCCA